GAUGAACGCUAGCGGCAGGCUUAACACAUGCAAGUCGAGGGGUAUAGUUCUUCGGAAUUAGAGACCGGCGCACGGGUGCGUAACGCGUAUGCAAUCUACCUUUCACAAAGGGAUAGCCCAGAGAAAUUUGGAUUAAUACCUCAUAGUAUAGUACUUUGGCAUCAAGGAACUAUUAAAGUCACAACGGCAAAAGAUGAGCAUGCGUCCCAUUAGCUAGUUGGUAAGGUAACGGCUUACCAAGGCUACGAUGGGUAGGGGUCCUGAGAGGGAGAUCCCCCACACUGGUACUGAGACACGGACCAGACUCCUACGGGAGGCAGCAGUGAGGAAUAUUGGACAAUGGGCGCAAGCCUGAUCCAGCCAUGCCGCGUGCAGGAUGACGGUCCUAUGGAUUGUAAACUGCUUUUAUACAGGAAGAAACACUACUUCGUGAAGUAGCUUGACGGUACUGUAAGAAUAAGGAUCGGCUAACUCCGUGCCAGCAGCCGCGGUAAAG
RNAcentral lists this ribosomal RNA (496 nucleotides) under uncultured bacterium. RNAcentral describes it as "bacterial SSU rRNA". It matches the Rfam family "Bacterial small subunit ribosomal RNA", at positions 28 to 525 of the family's 1533-position model. The record is from RNAcentral.